RNAcentral lists this ribosomal RNA (470 nucleotides) under Streptococcus mutans. RNAcentral's name for it is "bacterial SSU rRNA". It matches the Rfam family "Bacterial small subunit ribosomal RNA", at positions 28 to 472 of the family's 1533-position model. The record is from RNAcentral. Lineage: Bacteria; Bacillati; Bacillota; Bacilli; Lactobacillales; Streptococcaceae.
GACGAACGCUGGCGGCGUGCCUAAUACAUGCAAGUGGGACGCAAGAGAACACACUGUGCUUGCACACCGUGUUUUCUUGAGUCGCGAACGGGUGAGUAACGCGUAGGUAACCUGCCUAUUAGCGGGGGAUAACUAUUGGAAACGAUAGCUAAUACCGCAUAAUAUUAAUUAUUGCAUGAUAAUUGAUUGAAAGAUGCAAGCGCAUCACUAGUAGAUGGACCUGCGUUGUAUUAGCUAGUUGGUAAGGUAAGAGCUUACCAAGGCGACGAUACAUAGCCGACCUGAGAGGGUGAUCGGCCACACUGGGACUGAGACACGGCCCAGACUCCUACGGGAGGCAGCAGUAGGGAAUCUUCGGCAAUGGACGAAAGUCUGACCGAGCAACGCCGCGUGAGUGAAGAAGGUUUUCGGAUCGUAAAGCUCUGUUGUAAGUCAAGAACGUGUGUGAGAGUGGAAAGUUCACACAGUGA